GACGAACGUUGGCGGCGUGCUUAACACAUGCAAGUCGAACGGAAAGGCCCUGCUUUUGUGGGGUGCUCGAGUGGCGAACGGGUGAGUAACACGUGAGUAACCUGCCCUUGACUUUGGGAUAACUUCAGGAAACUGGGGCUAAUACCGGAUAGGAGCUCCUGCUGCAUGGUGGGGGUUGGAAAGUUUCGGCGGUUGGGGAUGGACUCGCGGCUUAUCAGCUUGUUGGUGGGGUAGUGGCUUACCAAGGCUUUGACGGGUAGCCGGCCUGAGAGGGUGACCGGCCACAUUGGGACUGCGAUACGGCCCAGACUCCUACGGGAGGCAGCAGUGGCGAAUAUUGCACAAUGGGCGGAAGCCUGAUGCAGCAACGCCGCGUGCGGGAUGACGGCCUGCGGGUUGUAAACCGCUUUCGCCUGUGACGAAGCGUGAGUGACGGUAAUGGGUAAAGAAGCACCGGCUAACUACGUG
RNAcentral lists this ribosomal RNA (468 nucleotides) under uncultured bacterium. RNAcentral's name for it is "partial 16S ribosomal RNA". It matches the Rfam family "Bacterial small subunit ribosomal RNA", at positions 28 to 507 of the family's 1533-position model. The record is from RNAcentral.